AGCGAAAGCGUGGGGAGCGAACAGGAUUAGAUACCCUGGUAGUCCACGCCGUAAACGGUGGGCGCUAGUUGUGCGAACCUUCCACGGUUUGUGCGACGCAGCUAACGCAUUAAGCGCCCCGCCUGGGGAGUACGAUCGCAAGAUUAAAACUCAAAGGAAUUGACGGGGCCCCGCACAAGCAGCGGAGCAUGCGGCUUAAUUCGACGCAACGCGAAGAACCUUACCAAGGCUUGACAUAUACAGGAAUACGGCAGAGAUGUCGUAGCCGCAAGGUCUGUAUACAGGUGGUGCAUGGUUGUCGUCAGCUCGUGUCGUGAGAUGUUGGGUUAAGUCCCGCAACGAGCGCAACCCUCGUUCUGUGUUGCCAGCAUUUAGUUGGGGACUCACAGGAGACUGCCGGGGUUAACUCGGAGGAAGGUGGGGAUGACGUCAAAUCAUCAUGCCCCUUAUGUCUUGGGCUGCACGCAUGCUACAAUGGCUGGUACAAACGGCUGCAAUACCGCAAGGUGGAGCGAAUCCGAGAAAGCCAGUCUCAGUUCGGAUUGGGGUCUGCAACUCGACCCCAUGAAGUCGGAGUUGCUAGUAAUCGUAGAUCAGCAACGCUACGGUGAAUACGUUCCCGGGGCUUGUACACACCGCCCGUCACAUCACGAAAGUCGGUAACACCCAAAAGUCAGUGCCCAACC
This 686-nucleotide ribosomal RNA is filed under the name uncultured Actinomycetes bacterium. RNAcentral's name for it is "bacterial SSU rRNA". It matches the Rfam family "Bacterial small subunit ribosomal RNA", at positions 752 to 1440 of the family's 1533-position model. Lineage: Bacteria; Bacillati; Actinomycetota; Actinomycetes. The record is from RNAcentral.